AUACACGUGCUGUUUGGCUGUCGUCCCCUCGUGUACCGAAAUGUUGGGUUAAGUCCCGCCACGAGCGCAACCCUUUUCCUUAUUUGCCAGCAAUGUAAUAUGGGGAUCUUUAAGGAUAACGGCCGGUAAUAAACCCGAGAAAGGUGGGAACAGGUUCAAGUCUUAAUUGCCCUUACCGACUAGGGUUCACCCCUGGUUCCAUGGUCGGAUCCAAAGGGUUGCUACACAGCCCUGGGGAGACCAAUCCUAAAAAAGCCGAUUCUUAUUCCGAAUUGGAAUUUGCCCCUUGCAUUCAAUGAAGUGGGAUUCCCAACUAAUCCCGGAACAAAAUGCCACGGUGAAUACCUUUCCGGG
Molecule: ribosomal RNA, 354 nt
Filed under: uncultured Gammaproteobacteria bacterium
Lineage: Bacteria; Pseudomonadati; Pseudomonadota; Gammaproteobacteria
Description: bacterial SSU rRNA
Rfam family: Bacterial small subunit ribosomal RNA
Source: RNAcentral